UACGUAGGGGGCAAGCGUUGUUCGGAAUUACUGGGCGUAAAGGGCUCGUAGGCGGCCAACUAAGUCAGACGUGAAAUCCCUCGGCUUAACCGGGGAACUGCGUCUGAUACUGGAUGGCUUGAAUCCGGGAGAGGGAUGCGGAAUUCCAGGUGGUAGCGGUGAAAUGCGUAGAUAUCUGGAGGAACACCGGUGGCGAAGGCGGCAUCCUGGACCGGCAUUGACGCUGAGGAGCGAAAGCCAGGGGAGCAAACGGGGAUU
This 258-nucleotide ribosomal RNA is filed under the name uncultured bacterium. RNAcentral describes it as "partial 16S ribosomal RNA". It matches the Rfam family "Bacterial small subunit ribosomal RNA", at positions 524 to 779 of the family's 1533-position model. The record is from RNAcentral.